CGAAAGGGUGCGUAACACGUGGGUAAUUUGUCUGAGAGUUCAGGAUAAUACGCUGAAAGGCGGAGUAAUACUGGAUGUGGAUAUUGGCCGGGAACGGUUGAUGUCUAAAGCUGGGGACCGCAAGGCCUGGUGCUCUUUGGUAAGCCCGCGUCCUAUCAGCUGGUUGGUGAGGUAAAGGCUCACCAAGGCGGAGACGGGUAGCUGGUCUGAGAGGACGACCAGCCACACUGGAACUGAGACACGGUCCAGACACCUACGGGUGGCAGCAGUCGAGAAUUUUUCUCAAUGGGGGAAACCCUGAAGGAGCGACGCCGCGUGGGGGAUGAAGGGCUUCGGCUCGUAAACCCCUGUCAUUUGUGAGCAAGUGUUAUUGUUUAAGAGAUGAUGACAUUGAUAGUAGCAAAAGAGGAAGGGACGGCUAACUCUGUGCCAGCAGCCGCGGUAAUACAGAGGUCCCAAGCGUUGUUCGGAAUCACUGGGCGUAAAGGGUGCGUAGGCGGUAUGGUAAGACUUGGGUGAAAUCUCCAUGCUUAACGUGGAGGGAGCCUGGGAGACUGCCGUGCUGGAGGAUUGGAAGGGAGACUGGAAUUCUUGGAGUAGCAGUGAAAUGCGUAGAUAUCAAGAGGAACACCAGUGGCGAAGGCGAGUCUCUGGACAAGACCUGACGCUGAGGCACGAAGGCCAGGGGAUCAAACGGGAUUAGAUAUCCCGGUAGUCCUGGCAGUAAACGGUGCACACUUGCUGUGUGAGGGAUCGACCCCUUACGUGGCGAAGCCAACGCGAUAAGUGUGCCGCCUGGGGAGUACGGUCGCAAGACUAAAACUCAAAGAAAUUGACGGGGGCCCGCACAAGCGGAGGAACAUGUGGUUUAAUUCGAUGAUACGCGAGGAACCUUACCCGGGUUUGAACGUAGGGAGACA
RNAcentral lists this ribosomal RNA (920 nucleotides) under uncultured bacterium. RNAcentral's name for it is "bacterial SSU rRNA". It matches the Rfam family "Bacterial small subunit ribosomal RNA", at positions 99 to 997 of the family's 1533-position model. The record is from RNAcentral.